RNAcentral lists this ribosomal RNA (253 nucleotides) under uncultured bacterium. RNAcentral describes it as "partial 16S ribosomal RNA". It matches the Rfam family "Bacterial small subunit ribosomal RNA", at positions 524 to 776 of the family's 1533-position model. The record is from RNAcentral.
GACGAAGGGGGCUAGCGUUGUUCGGAAUUACUGGGCGUAAAGCGCGUGUAGGCGGUUGGUCAAGUCAGGUGUGAAAGCCUUGAGCUCAACUCAAGAAAUGCACUUGAUACUGGAUGACUAGAGGACCGGAGAGGAUAGUGGAAUUCCCGGUGUAGUGGUGAAAUACGUAGAGAUUGGGAAGAACACCAGUGGCGAAGGCGGCUAUCUGGACGGUUUCUGACGCUAAGACGCGAAAGCGUGGGGAGCAAACAGG